This 1065-nucleotide long non-coding RNA is filed under the name Mus caroli (Ryukyu mouse). RNAcentral describes it as "RIKEN cDNA 4933436E23 gene (MGP_CAROLIEiJ_G0004517.1)". Lineage: Eukaryota; Metazoa; Chordata; Mammalia; Rodentia; Muridae. The record is from RNAcentral.
ACACAGGAUUGGAUGGGGCCAACGCCACUGUGUAGCACAGGCGCAGUGCAGUGCCUACUCUCCUGAGUGCUAUGGGCCAAAACAUCUUGAGUAAUGGUGUUUGCAGAGAUGCACCACUGUGCCUGACUUUGCAGAAGUAUUAUAUAUUUCUUGCUCUAAUAUCUACAUUUUUCCAGUUGGAAUAAAAGAUGCAGGUCCAUAGACCUGAAAUCUAAGGAACUGGUCACAGGGAAAGCCAGCCAAUACACCAGAGAGCACUCAAUUUUAACUACUAGACCACCAGAAGAGUAACCAACUGAUCCAAAAAGAAGAUAUGUGGUGUGAAGCACAGACAGAAUCUAAUGUCCAAACAAGCUGAUUCCAACAAGAUCACAGCCAUUCUCCAGGGAGCACUGGAAAGCACUGUAUUAAGAGGAGGCUUGAGUUUCAUUUGUUGAAGAGGAUUGAAUCAUAGAACUGUGGCAACUGAGGAAUGCUGUGAGCAGGAGAAAUGGUUUGCCCCAAGAGAAGGAAGAAGAGAAAGAUGAAGAGGAGGAGGACAAGUAGGCUUGGGGACCGCUGGUGGUAAAUAGAGGGCAGUUUGCAUUCCCUGGCCCAGGCUUCCAUCAUUGAACCUCAGCUUGUAUUGCCAAGGCUCCCUUUGACACUGACCCACCUGAAUCACUGUUUUAAAGACUACUGUCAUUCCCUGAGCCCACCCAGCAUGAGACGGUCCACCCCAUUCUUGCAGACACAGCGAAAGUCGACAACUGUAUAAUCCAGUCCAGCCUGAAACUCAUAGCAAUCAUUCUUCCUCAGUUUUGAAGUAUUUGAAUUAUAGGCCCAUAUCACUAUACACUGCCUUCAUAGCAAUACUAAUCUCAUCCCAGAGAUUCCAUCGUCAUGGCCUGAUCUAAAAUUAUUUUACCUUCAACAAACCUCAGCUCACAAUACUAUCCCGUUGGAGGCUAAAAUAUCACCAUAUGGAUUUAGGGGUGGGGGAAAAAAACCUCAUCCAAAAUUGUAGUUUUCUGUUGACAAAAGAAGAAAUAUAAUCUGGCCUGAAUUAAAGCAUUUUAAUAAUUG